RNAcentral lists this ribosomal RNA (431 nucleotides) under uncultured bacterium. Its description in RNAcentral is "bacterial SSU rRNA". It matches the Rfam family "Bacterial small subunit ribosomal RNA", at positions 29 to 464 of the family's 1533-position model. The record is from RNAcentral.
AUUGAACGCUGGCGGCAUGCCUAACACAUGCAAGUCGAACGGCAGCGCGGGGGCAACCCUGGCGGCGAGUGGCGGACGGGUGAGGAAUACAUCGGAAUCUACCUUCUGGUGGGGGAUAACUAGCCGAAAGGCUGGCUAAUACCGCAUAAGACCGAGAGGUGAAAGCGGGGGACCGAAAGGCCUCGCGCGAGAAGAUGAGCCGAUGUCCGAUUAGCUAGUUGGCGGGGUAAGAGCCCACCAAGGCGACGAUCGGUAGCUGGUCUGAGAGGAUGAUCAGCCACACUGGGACUGAGACACGGCCCAGACUCCUACGGGAGGCAGCAGUGGGGAAUAUUGGACAAUGGGCGCAAGCCUGAUCCAGCAAUGCCGCGUGUGUGAAGAAGGCCUCGGUUGUAAGCACUUAUCGGUAGCGAAAGACGGACCGGCCGUAA